This is an RNA transcript of Pezoporus occidentalis (night parrot), 3342 nucleotides long. It is a transcript of the gene named melanotransferrin-like, with no coding region annotated. The transcript has 18 exons. The record is from RefSeq and is a predicted model, not a curated record. NCBI's taxonomy places the organism in Eukaryota, Metazoa, Chordata, Aves, Psittaciformes, Psittacidae.
ACAUUGUCUCUUUCUCUUUUGCAUACAAGGAUAUGCCACCCUCUGGCUUUUUUUCUUAAAUCAUAGUUUAUUCUUGUUGAUGCCUAAAACUCCUUUGUUAUCUUCCAGAAGCUUUGGUCAUCACUGUGGAAUUCCUGGUAUGAGAAGACAGAGCUCAGGGUAGAGAGAGGAUCCUUGCUGAACUGCUGUAAUCAUGAAGACAGUGAUUUUAAUUGUCUUAAUCAUCUUCACUUUGCUGUCUUCAGGGAAGAAAUUCCGAUGGUGCACCCUUUCUGACCUAGAGCAGAGGAAGUGUGCUGAACUGUCUAAAGCACUCAUGGCUGUGGUGCCCCUUGCUGCUGUCAAUUCAUUUGCCAGGAUUUCUUGCAUCAGAGCUCACAACACAUAUGACUGCAUUGAUAAAAUCAGGGUGAAUAAAGCCGAUGCUGUCUCCUUGGAUGCUGGAGAAGUUUACUCUGCUGUAAAGCUCUAUGGUUUGACAGUUGCGGCAAAGGAAAUCUAUGACCAAGGAAAUUGUGUGUUUGCUGUGGCCAUUGCCAAACGAGGAACUCUGGAUAUCCGGAGGCUACGAGGUGUGCGCAGCUGCCACAAUGGAGCCAGGUGGACAUCCGGCUGGAAUAUUCCACUUGGCUUUCUUCUUGCAAGCAAUUAUCUUUCCUGGGAUGAGGAGCAACCUCUGAGUCAAGUAGUCAGUGAGUAUUUCAAUGGAAGUUGCAUCCCUGGGGUUGGUGUUGCUGCUCCUCAACUGUGUGCUCUCUGCCAAGGACAAAAAUCCUAUGUCAGAGACAAGAACCACUUCUGUGAGACGAGCAGUAAUGAACCCUUCUAUGACUCUGAAGGAGCCUUCAGGUGUUUGAAGACUGGAGUGGCAGAUGUUGCCUUUUUAGAUCAUCUAACAAUUAUGAGUGCUACAGAGUCAGAGCAACAGGAAUAUGAACUCCUAUGUCCUGAUGGGACUACAGCUGAGCUGACUGAGUACAGCGUCUGUAACUUGGGCAAGGGGCCUGGACGUGGCAUCAUCACCCGCCACAACUUCCAGAAGAUCACCCAUAAAUUUCUCACCAUGAUCCAACGCCUCUUUGGGCGAAAAGGAAAGGAAAGAGCUAGGUUUGAACUCUUCACUUCAGCACCCUUUGGGGGAAAGAACCUGCUGUUCCAGGAUGCCACUCAGCACCUACAGCUUCUUGAGGAGCAGCUGGAGAUUGCCUAUGUCCUUGGUCUGGACUAUGUAUCUCUCCUUAAGGGACUAGGACAUGAAGGCAGCUCUUUGGACAACAGCAUUGUGCGCUGGUGCUGCAUCAGUGAUGCUGAGCUUCACAAAUGUGAGGAGUGGGCACUGAGCAUCAAAUCUGACCCACUGGUCUGUGUCCAAGCAACUUCCAUGACCAAAUGCAUUGAAAUGAUCAAGAGUAGUGAGGCUGAUGCAGUCACCCUGGAUGCAACACAUGUCUACAUUGCAGGAAAGUGUGGAUUGGUGCCUGUAGCUGCAGAAUGUUAUGGGGGAGAUUGUGCCCAGGCUGCUGAGAGCAUGGGGGAAAUGAGGAAGCUAAUUCAUCUGAAGCGCGAAGGACUGCCACCUGUUUAUGCUGUUGCACUAGCUAAGAAAAAUGCCAAACAGAUUAACAUCCAUAAUCUUAGGGGAAGGCGAUCCUGCCACAGCCACCUGUAUAGUCCUGGAGGAUGGUUACUUCUUUCCAGAUAUGCAUUGAGAGCUCUGGAGAAUGACACUGAGAGCUGUGAUAUUGGCUCUGUUUACCAGAAUUACUUUUGGAAGAGCUGCAUGCCAGGAGCAGAUGGAAACCUGUGCAAGGUGUGCAUUGGAGACGGUGAGGUGGAAGGGGCUCGAGUAUCUAGCAGAUGUGCUGCAAGUCACAACGAACGUUACUAUGGCAAUAUGGGAGCACUCAGGUGCCUAGUUGGCAAUCCCAGUGGAAGAAGCUUCGGAGAUGUAGCUUUCCUGGAACAUUCUAACCUCCUCCAGAACAUAAAGAAUCUGGAUAUUUCUGGUUGGGCAAAGGGCUAUACCCCUAUUGACUUUGAACUCUUGUGUCUGGAUGGAACACGUGCUGCAGUCACAGAAUGGGCAGGCUGUAACCUUGGCCCCAUUCCCCCCAGCACAGUCAUGACUCGACCGGUCACUGUCACUAAAAUCUAUGACUUUCUAAUGAAAUCCCAGGAAUCUCUGGGAAGCAAAUUGAAUUCUGAAUUCCAACUCUUUCAAUCAUGGAAGUAUGGUGAAAGUGAUCUGCUUUUCAAAGACACUACUCAGUACCUUGUUCAUGCCAGUCACAUGAGCUAUCAGGAAAUUCUUGGAGCGCCUUUCUUUCAGCUGGCAGAAUCAGUGUUUAACUGUACACCUGCAGGCAUCUUAGACUUCUGCAAACAGGAUAUCUGUGCAUCUUCAUCGAACUGACAGUUAAUAAGAGGCUUUGCGAGGCACAUACAUCAUCGUUGAUAUUGAAAACAGGGAAAGCUGGAAGUCCAACCUAUCCAAAGCAAUCAGCAAGGAGCAGCAGAGGCCAGUCUGCAUAACCUGCACAGAACUAGCAUCAGCAAUCCUGUACAGCUACUAAGGAGAAACCAGCAUUUUUGUGGAAAUAGCAGGGCCAAUACCAUGGACUAAAAUACAGACUGUCAGGAGUGGCACAGAUAAAUAUAAAAUCUUUAUCUUUGCCAUCCCAAAGUUGGAAAAGAAUAGAAGGAACAUGCAGCACCUAGCAUCCUGACAUCAGUCAAACAGAAAGAACAGAGAUCCAAGUAAGGAAACAAACUUCUCUAGUAUCAGAUAUUCAUUUAAUAAGCAGUGGCACAACAUGUUUGAAAGUAACAGAAUUGCUCUGUGCAAUGAGCUACAUGGUGUUUGCAUUAAUGCCCUUCCACACUUCUCCAUUACACGAUCCAGUCAGUUUACUUCACUAACUUUUUAAUCAGAAAGCUGUUCUUGCAAUAAGCUGCCAAAAGCUGAAAGCCAAACUGACAUAAGCAAUGUCUUUCUGAGAAAAUUUAUGAUCCCACUACUCAGAAUAAAUGCCAGAGCUCAAGAGACUCACCAAAUCUCAUGACCUUCAGUCUGUAGUGCUUCCAUAUUCUGUAUAGGUAAGUGCGGUGUGAUGGCAUAGCUGGUUCCAAAGAAUGAACAAAACAAAACAAAGACAGACAGAAAUUAGGUCUACACUAUAAAACAGUUGAGGGGAAAAUUGUUAGUAUAAACUCGACUGGAAGACAAAAAACUGCUAGCAUCAGGAAUGGGAAUGAAAGACUAAAACAAUGAAAGAACAAGCCACAUCUGCCAUUUAGUCCACUAAAUUUCACUGACAGCUUGCUAGGGAAAUAGUCCUACUU